Molecule: ribosomal RNA, 359 nt
Filed under: uncultured bacterium
Lineage: Bacteria
Description: bacterial SSU rRNA
Rfam family: Bacterial small subunit ribosomal RNA
Source: RNAcentral
GGACCCGCACAAGUAGUGGAGCAUGUGGUUUAAUUCGAAGAUACGCGCAGAACCUUACCAACACUUGACAUGUUCGUCGCGACUCUAAGAGAUUAGAGUUUUCGGUUCGGCCGGACGAAACACAGGUGCUGCAUGGCUGUCGUCAGCUCGUGUCGUGAGAUGUUGGGUUAAGUCCCGCAACGAGCGCAACCCUCACUUUUUAGUUGCCAGCAUUAAGUUGGGCACUCUAGCGAGACUGCCGGUGAUAAGCCGGAGGAAGGCGGGGAUGACGUCAAGUCCUCAUGGCCCCUUAUGGGCUGGGCUACACACGUGCUACAAUGGCAGUGACAGAGGGACGCUACCAGGUGACUGGAUGCAAA